CGAACGGGUGAGUAACGCGUGAGUAACCUGCCCUAGAGUGGGGGACAACAGUUGGAAACGACUGCUAAUACCGCAUAAGACCACAGUACUGCAUGGUACAGUGGUAAAAACUCCGGUGGUAUGAGAUGGACCCGCGUCUGAUUAGGUAGUUGGUGAGGUAACGGCCCACCAAGCCGACGAUCAGUAGCCGACCUGAGAGGGUGACCGGCCACAUUGGGACUGAGACACGGCCCAG
This 235-nucleotide ribosomal RNA is filed under the name uncultured bacterium. RNAcentral describes it as "partial 16S ribosomal RNA". It matches the Rfam family "Bacterial small subunit ribosomal RNA", at positions 99 to 334 of the family's 1533-position model. The record is from RNAcentral.